RNAcentral lists this ribosomal RNA (388 nucleotides) under Candidatus Omnitrophota bacterium. Its description in RNAcentral is "bacterial SSU rRNA". It matches the Rfam family "Bacterial small subunit ribosomal RNA", at positions 1 to 340 of the family's 1533-position model. Lineage: Bacteria; Pseudomonadati; Candidatus Omnitrophota. The record is from RNAcentral.
CUGAUGGAGAGUUUGAUCCUGGCUCAGAGCGAACGCUGGCGGCGUGGUUUAGGCAUGCAAGUCGAGCGAAUUAUUUGGACUGAAGUUCUUGAAGCCGCAAGGCUGAUGGGAUGGAUGACUGAAUGAUUAGCGGCAAACGGGUGAGUAACGCGUGGGUAAUCUGCCUUUGAGUGGGGGAUAACGACCCGAAAGGGUCGCUAAUACCGCAUAAGCCCACAGCCUCGUAAGAGGUAGUGGGAGAAGCCGGGGACCGUAAGGCCUGGCGCUUAAAGAUGAGCCCGCGUCCCAUCAGCUAGUUGGUAGGGUAAUGGCCUACCAAGGCUAUGACGGGUAGCUGGCCUGAGAGGGUGGUCAGCCACACUGGGACUGAGACACUGCCCAGACUCCU